This 495-nucleotide ribosomal RNA is filed under the name uncultured bacterium. RNAcentral describes it as "partial 16S ribosomal RNA". It matches the Rfam family "Bacterial small subunit ribosomal RNA", at positions 28 to 507 of the family's 1533-position model. The record is from RNAcentral.
GACGAACGCUGGCGGCGUGCCUAAUACAUGCAAGUAGAACGCUGAAGGAGGAGCUUGCUUCUCUGGAUGAGUUGCGAACGGGUGAGUAACGCGUAGGUAACCUGCCUGGUAGCGGGGGAUAACUAUUGGAAACGAUAGCUAAUACCGCAUAAGAGUAGAUGUUGCAUGACAUUUGCUUAAAAGUUGCAAUUGCAUCACUACCAGAUGGACCUGCGUUGUAUUAGCUAGUUGGGGGGGUAACGGCUCACCAAGGCGACGAUACAUAGCCGACCUGAGAGGGUGAUCGGCCACACUGGGACUGAGACACGGCCCAGACUCCUACGGGAGGCAGCAGUAGGGAAUCUUCGGCAAUGGACGGAAGUCUGACCGAGCAACGCCGCGUGAGUGAAGAAGGUUUUCGGAUCGUAAAGCUCUGUUGUAAGAGAAGAACGAGUGUGAGAGUGGAAAGUUCACACUGUGACGGUAUCUUACCAGAAAGGGACGGCUAACUACGUG